This 21-nucleotide microRNA is filed under the name Medicago truncatula (barrel medic). Its description in RNAcentral is "mtr-miR5740". The record is from miRBase by way of RNAcentral. Lineage: Eukaryota; Viridiplantae; Streptophyta; Magnoliopsida; Fabales; Fabaceae.
UGAACAGAAAGAACAUUUGGC